Mytilus californianus (California mussel) is the source of this 1570-nucleotide long non-coding RNA. RefSeq lists it as uncharacterized. Lineage: Eukaryota; Metazoa; Mollusca; Bivalvia; Mytilida; Mytilidae. The record is from RefSeq and is a predicted model, not a curated record. The transcript is spliced from 6 exons.
CCAGUGAUAAUAUGGCAGGAGCAUGUGGCGGGCCAGAGGAUAUACCCGAUGAGUCCAUGAGUGUUUUGGAAUGCAGUAGAGUAACAGUCAGUCGUUCUAGUACACCGUGAAUUCGAAGUUAUUCUAAUACCCCAACCAAUUUGGCAAGUACACUAUGUUCCAGCAGGACAAUCAUUCCGACUUUCCUUAGAACACCUUUAUCUGGAGAAGUUCGUUCUAGCAGGUCAACUACUCCUGUCACAGAGAGUAUAUCAAGAAAAGAACAGACUACAGCAUCAGCAAACAAGAUUGACACUUUAACAAAGAAGUCAUCUAAAUGAAAAGGCAACUGGUAAAAGUGCAAGAAAAACAAAUUAAUGUUGAAAAGAAAGUGGAUAUUAUGAUUCAAAUACUACAAUCAAAAACAAAUGAACGAAAAAAGCAAAGCCAAAAGAUUAACGUCCCUGCACAAAUUGCACAAUCAAGAAGGGAUGGUUAUCAGCAGGGUAUUACUGAAAAGGAUUUCAUCUGGAGAAUAAAGAACGAAACUGGCAGUAUUUUAAAAUGUAAUUCUGCAGAGAACAAAGAGAAGUCUGGAUUCAUCAUAGAAUUUGUAAAAGGCCCAAUAUCCUGAUGAAGUGGAGGGUGUUGUUAGAGAAGGGAUAAAGACAAAUUUUGAAUCGUUCAAAGCAAAGAAACGAAGAGACGAAACUGGUAAACCAGAAGAACAUAACAAGAAAAUGGCUGUGUACAGCCAGAUGAAAAUUAAACAACAGAAAAAGGCCCUAAAAGUAAAAGUCCAGUAUACCAGAGGAACAAAAAGAAAAGGGCUCGAAAAGCAGUGGUGCAGAACAUGUCUUAUGAACAAACAGAUUCAUAAGACGAAGGAUCGUUUAUCGUCAGACCUCUGCCUUGGAGGUCUGACGAUGUUGAUAAAUUAGUAAAAAAACUAGGCCAAAAACAUGAUGGUCAACUAACCAAGAGAAGCAGACGGCAGCACCAUAAACGAAAGAUUGGGGCAGUUUCCUCAAGGAUAAAACCAGAAGUCGUGCCAGGACAUGAAUGGGUGUUUAAAUAGUUGAAAAAUAAUGUCAGUGAUUAAACUUUAUUCGUUUUAACGUUUUAAGUAUGCAAGUUUUACCGACCAAAGUAAAUGCUACAUGUAAUUGUUAAUACUGAUUUUUACACAAUUAUUUGUCCCAAACUAAAAUAACAAAAAAUCUGAUAUAUCGUUCUAUUCUUAUAUUAACAUAUUUCAGUCAUCACGAAAUCAAAUAGAUGCGAACAGAAAGAGAAAAAAUACAUCUUCAUGUCGGAUGUCAACAUACCGUCUUCAACAACAACAAGCGGUUCGAAGGAGAACGUUUUUAAUAAAAAAUAGUAAAGAAAAGUGCUUCUUGAAACAACAGUAUUGUCGUAAUGAGCAAAACUAUUUAAAAAUAACACGAACAAUGUACAUUUCAUUGGCAAAACAAAAUAUAAUAACUUUUUUGAUUUGUAACCUAGCAUCACGGAAAAUAAAUGUUAAAAAAAUAUUUUUUUAUAGAAUCUUCAUUUUAAGAAGGAAAAUCUUGUUUUUUUUUAAUAUGGA